Carassius auratus (goldfish) is the source of this 5855-nucleotide long non-coding RNA. NCBI's taxonomy places the organism in Eukaryota, Metazoa, Chordata, Actinopteri, Cypriniformes, Cyprinidae. The record is from Ensembl.
ACUGUCACCUUUGGCUUGCUUAGUUGGGGACGCUUGACUGAUUGAACAGACGCUAUUGGAAGAGAGCUGAACUGGAUGAUGACAUCACUGAAUCAAUAAACUGACCUUAGCUGGAAAAAUGACUAUUUGUUAAUGUCCUACUGCAUUACUGACAAACCAUUUUCCUGUUUGACACUGUAAAGCUGCUUUGACACAAUCAGUAUUGUUUAAAGCGAUAUACAAAUAAAGUUGAAUUGACUUGACUUUACAUGAGUUCAUGUGUAGGCCUAGUGAGGAAUGAUUUGGCCACAAAAAAAAAAAAAAAACACUAACCCAUGUUGUAAUGGGUAAAUGGAACGGAAUGCUGACAAGAGGAAAAAGAUUAAAAAGGGGAAGAUUCACUUCCACUAGGUCCAAAAAAUAUGCUGUGAUGAAACAAACCUCUUAACCCACCUGAUAUUUCAUUUAUUUCAUAUGAGUAAGCGUAAAACCACAACUUGGUGUCUGCAGUCUCACAGUAUAAUUGAAACGGGUUAAGUUCAUGUCACUCCUCCCCUAAAACCUACAACUCACCUCUCAUUUGUCAGCUAACUUCAGAACAGAAAAGACUGAACCUGAGAACAGUAAUACAUACAUUGCUGCAGACUCCAAGGCAGAAAGAAAAUUACAAUCAAAAUCCAAUAAUCUACUCUCAAAUGGAUCGCAGCCAGCCUUUCAGUCACACACGUCCAUAUCCAGGACAGUCUGGGGUCACUGUACAGCCUCCAGUUUUUGUGACCACUGCUCCACUGGCCAGACCAGUGCCAGAUCACUUGGGCUACUCCAUCUUCACCUUUCUGUGCUGCUGUUUUCCUCUGGGCAUUGCUGCAAUAGUUUUCUCCUGCUUUACUCGAGAUGCCAUCUACUCAGGACAGCAAGAAUUAGCAAAGAGGCAUUCCAAAACAGCGCUCAUGCUGAAUCAUAUCGGCCUUGGGAUUGGCUUGGUUAUUAUUGUAUUGAUUAUUUUCAACCAGAUGAUGAAAUGAAGAUAAAAGCUUUUAGAGCUGAAAUGGCUGGAAGCAUCUUAAAAACAGAUUUGUUUUUCUUUAUGUUACUUGUUCAAUUUAUAAUUAUUCUUAUGCUUUUAGGCUGAUUAUUCUAUGUUUAAACCAAGGCUACCAUGCAGUUUUCUGUUCUCUUUACUUCUAAAAUGUUUUGUUUAGGCUUUUGGCUUAUUUUAAAUAUCUUGUGUGCAGCUGGGUUUUUUUUUCACAAACUUAAACAGAAAUGAAAGUUUUAGUCAAAUACUCAAAUCAGAAAGUGCAUUAUGGGAACACCAGUAUCAGAAAAGUUGAGUAGAUUUUACUCAAUAUAAAAUUGCUUUUUUUAUUGCCUGAACUAACUUUUUCAUGUAGAAAUUAAACUUGUUUUUCUGUAGUAUUUACUUCAUCACAGAAUCAUUUUUAGCAUGGAGUGCUGACAGAAAGAAAACUAGUUUGGUAUGAUGGCUAGAAUUAUUAUUUUUUUCUAAAUAAGACAACAAUUUGCUAUAUUUCUAAUACCAUAUUGUAAUACAGUCCUUGUCCAAAAAUAAAUAACUAAAUAAAUAAUACUUUUUGAACAAUUAGGUGUAGAUGUAGUUUUGAAAAAGUGACCUAUUUUGAGAGAUGUUUCCCAGCGAUUGUAAAUAAAACUGCAACUGAAGGAAAGGUAGAGUAAUUCUCUUUUUGAUUGAUCUUUGAGAAAAUAUAUAUUGUAAUUUUUUUUUUUUAAAGACCGAAAACUGUUGUCACUCGGGAUUUAUAUCCCUCCAUCUCCAUCAAUAAUCAUUUAUAACAACAUCCAGAUGCGACAUAGACCUCUAUUAUCUCGAUCAAGAGUAAAUUGCAAAAGUGUUCAGCAUUCUGCAAUAAAUAUGUUUCAGAUUUUCUUGACUAUUUUAAGUCGUAAAGUAAACAGUAUGUAUUAAAAUCCCACGCGUAGCUUUAGCAAUAGCCUACAUGAUACUAAGCGGGGCAGAUGGUGCCUGAGACCUAGGGGAGAGCAGGGUCGAAAGUAACAUGGGACGAAAGUAACAAAGCAAUUUUCUCAAAGCUAUGGAGUUUCGAUAUGAGUUAAAUGCAUAAAUCACACCUCAUAUAAAUUACACAUUAGUCUGCCACAUUACAGUUCGACUGUCUGAACAUGACGUCUAUGUGACGUCUUCGUGUCGUCUGGGUUCUUCUGGGGGUUUUUUUCUAUUGUUUUUAAUCUAGGGUAAAAAAAAAAUGAUAAUAAUUGGUAUGGUGAAAUGCAUGAAGUGUUUUUCUUUUUUUUCUUAUCCAUAGAUUCAUUUUAGGCAAGGCGUGUUGAUUUGAGAAGAACGCUAAAUUGAUCAAACAUAUGCUCAUUGAGCUUCCUGCCACUGGUCUCUUGGCUAUUUCUUAGAAAAAAACAAACAAACAAACAAAAAAUCCCCGAAUUUAAACGUGCAGUAUGGAAAUUUUGGCCACCAGGGGUCACUCAAUCAAAAUAAUAACAUAAUACGUACUUUGAUGACGUCGGGAAAGAGCGUAAGGCUCAUGGGAGUUAUUGUUCAUUGGAUCACGCACUCUGUCGCUUCCCACAUUCCCCACUCAUUCUAACUUAGUAUUUUGACAAUCACUUCUUUUCGAACAGAGAAAUAUAUGAAUUAUGAGACCCCUAUCAAAUCAAUAUUCCAUCUAGCUAUUAGUAAUAUAUGUUAAAAAACAGGGUCGCCUUUCGCGUUAAUAAUUAUAAAUACGUUAUACUAUGAUAUCGAACAAGUUAGUGAACUGCAUUUGAAGCUACUUUAGCCAGCUAGAUAUAAAACAAAUGUAGAUUUACAUGAGAGCUAGUCCGUCUGCGUUUUACACAAGACAUCAUCGUUUCACAAAAUAUACGGAUAGAUAAAGUUAGCUGAAUGGAUGCGUACCUGUUUAUCAGAAUGCAAGUGAGUUCUGCAUCUCUCUGUAGUUUCAGCUUGUCACGAAGCUCUCUCUAUCUUCGAAAUGCAACUCCAAUAUUUACCCGUGUCUUGUUGCUUCUCUUGUCCCAAAACCAUCUUGGGUCAUUUAUUUCACCCGCACGUUUGCGCUUCACAGAACGUGCAGGCAAAGCAUAAUCAUGAUCCAUAAAUAAGUUAUUGAUUGAGGUUUAAAUACGAAUAUAAACAAUAUAAAUAUAAAAUAUAAUAGUCUCGAUCAAGGCUAGCUCCUACUUUUUCUUCUUCGUCUCUUCUUUGCUUCUGUUCACCUUUGUAUUUGGCGGUUCCGCAGGAAGUUAGAUAAACUAGAGGGGUCAAAGUUUAUAUGACAAAACGGAAAUAAAGAAACUUGCUGUGUCUUCUAAUUAAACUAUAAUUUUCUCCGGAUUUGAAAGCUCAUGGAAACUGUCGGGAUGAUGUAAGUACACAACUAAAAAAUAUAUAUAACAUAGAUAUAGUGAUUUCUGCUAUUUCUAAAGCAGAAAAAUUACAUAUUGUGCCUUUAACAAACAUAACAUAUUCCUAAAUUAAACUAAUAGAGCAAAUAAAAUAGAUGACCACUCUGCCAUAAAAAAAAAAAACUGAAAUAUUGUAAUGGCUGUAUCAUCAGCUGUAUAUGGGAAAGAGAGAGAGAAAAAGAUGAGAUCCAGUCAGACUCGGGACUAGAAUUCUGAUGAACUGUGCAGGGCUCUCUAUUCGUUCCCUUGUUUGUUGACCCCCAACCCUUAUGCACCUUCAUACCCUGCUGCAUAGACGUGCCACUGUCCUAUAGCCUAUAUUUAUUUAAUAUCACACAAAGAGUAAAAAAUUUUCUCUCUCGCAAAAUUCACAAAAGUGAUAAAAAUUACUUUUUUGGAAAAUAUAAAUGUCCAUUACUGCUGUGAACGGACGGUUAUUGAAUGUGAAGAAUAUACAUAACUUUAGGAGUCAGCUUCUCCACGACGGUCCUGCAGCGCAACACACUCAGAAAAAUAUAGUCUGAUUGUGGUUAUUCUUUGCUUGUUUGGUACACACAAUUCACUGAUCAUAAAAUGUAAAAUAUAAGAAGAGGUGUGCUUGAAAAACUGAACAUUAUUCAGGCAUAAUGCAUUUUUCUAUGUAUUUUAUUAUUAUAUUACAGCAACAGUCUCAGAUCUAGCAGCCGAUUGUGAUCGAUGAGUUGGCCAUAAAGACGAUCAAGUAGCCUACUGUAGGCUACAUUAAAAAUGUACAAAAAAAGAUAAAAACACAAUAACCCUUAAAUGUAGUUUCAAAAAGAAUUUCAUAAAAAUAAACAUAGUUUAGGUAGGCCUAUCCUAUAAGAAACACAAACUUUGCUAAAGGAUUGCUUUUGUUAAGGCUUUAUACUCUGUUAUAUAAAAUUAAAUAAAAUAAAAAAGUUGGGAAAGACGCAAAAUAAGAAUGAAUUUGAAAGAACACCUCCUGCAUGAAAAAUAAUAUAAGUAACCCCUGAAAGAAAUUGUAAUGAUGAGACAGAGAGGUUCGGAUCCAUGUGCAAAACUUUUAAUGAGAAUGGUCAGACAGGCAAUGAUCAGCAACGGCGUCAGGUAUAUAGGGAUAACCAGAAUCGAAAACAGGAACAAGCAGAUGUCGGGGGCAGGCAGCAGAGAAUCAGAGUCGGUAUAAACAAUCCAAAGGUCAGGUACAGAGAGAUCCAACACAAGGAAAACGCUUGGAAAUGACAGACACAGCAAAUCAAUACUUCGCAGAGAGUGAGAGUGAGUGUGCUGCUUAUAUGUGUGUGUAAAUGAGGUGCAGGUGUGGCAGGGUGAUUGUGAUGAAGAGACUCAUGGGAAAUGUAGUUAGGGUGUGGUGCAACAGAUACGAGGUGCUAGAGUCCGAGUGACAUCUGGUGUUGAGUGUGGAAUUGUCCUGAUUGGAGUGCCCUCUACAAAAGUUCAUGGGCACUUCAUGUAAUGAUCGUGACAGAAAUAUUAUCUAAAAUUUCUUAAACUGUGUUCUGAAGAUAAACAGAGGUUUCACGUGUUUGGAACGACAUUAGGGUAAGUUAUUAAUGAUAUAAAUAUUAAUUUUUAAAUAGUUACUAUAGCUACAGAGGAAGGAGAUACAUAUCGCUGAUGAAUGCGGUUUAAAUUUGGAUCUGUUCCUCACACCAAGUAUCACAUGGGUACAGGAGUUAAAUAAAAAUAAAAUACUUUCAUGAUCAUUUUAUUUAAUGCUUGUGAAUGGCCGCAUACUUUAAAAAUUAUGUGCCCCCUCUCUCUAUUAUAGAUCAGUGUGUGUCUCUUAGUAAACCAAAUAAAUAUUACAUGAUAAUGGUAAAAUACUCUCUCUCUCUGUCUCUUUUCGUGUAAGGAUUCUAAGAUUUUUUGUACCAAGAAUAAUAAUAUAAAAUUUAAUAAAAUGUUUAAUUAAGUGCAGUUUAAUGCACUUGACUGAUUUGCUUAUUUUUUAAAUAUUAAUGUUUCAUUCAAUUUUGACUUGCCAUUUCAAAGACUAAAUUUUAACAAUACUACACUUCAUUAAAAUGUAAGUGAUCAUUUAACCAUUAUCAUGCAAUAUUGUAUUUAUCUUGUUUAUCAUUGGUCACAUAAUAUGCUUCCAGAUCUUAGCCUGAUUUGGGCCACAUAUCACCUGACUGAUCUGGGCCACACUCCUCCCAUCAACAAUCGGCCCUCAUGUUGUUUGCUGGAUCCCUGCAGUGCUGUCAUUGCAACACGUGGCCCAGCUCUGGCUGAAAGGAUACAUGCCAUUGCCGACAGGAGGCCAGCAGUGCCACCUUGAGGCCGCAUGUGAGCCAAGUCCGUUUGCUAUGUGGGAUGUCACUCCUUCCCUAAAACCUACAACUCACCUCUCAUUUGUUAGCUAACUUCAGAACAGAAAAGACUGAACCAGAGAACAGUAAUACAUACAUUGCUGCAGACUCCAAGGCAGAAAGAAAAUUACAAUC